This is a non-coding RNA of Cajanus cajan (pigeon pea), 1625 nucleotides long. Lineage: Eukaryota; Viridiplantae; Streptophyta; Magnoliopsida; Fabales; Fabaceae. The record is from RefSeq and is a predicted model, not a curated record.
GAAGAAGAAAGUCAGUAAGUCACAAUCCAUCCCCUUCAUCUAUACUUGGUUGGUGUUGUCUCCUCUCUAGUUAUUUGUUAUUUAUCACUCACUUCACUUAUCUCUCAAAAAUCAAACACGCAUUAAGACACUGUGCAGUAGGCCAGCAAUAGCAUGUUAAAAUUCUGUGUUUGUUGUGUGAAUAAGAGGAAUGGAUGUUAAGGUGAAGAAAACACAACAGAGCGAAGAAGACAUCAGAAAAGGUCCAUGGAGCGUUGAAGAGGACACCAUUCUCGUGAAUUAUGUCGCCACCCACGGCCACGGUCGCUGGAACUCCCUCGCUCGCUGCGCAGGGUUGAAGAGAUCGGGGAAAAGUUGCAGGCUAAGAUGGCUAAACUACUUGCGUCCUGAUGUUCGUCGCGGAAAUAUAACACUCCAAGAACAGAUAACCAUUCUCGACCUCCACUCUCGUUGGGGCAACAGGUGGUCGAAAAUUGCACGGCACCUUCCCGGGAGAACAGACAACGAAAUAAAGAAUUAUUGGAGGACCCGAGUGAUUAAGCAAGCAAAGAACCUUAACUGUGACGUGGAUAGUAAACAGUUCAAAGAUGUCCUGCGUUACGAUUGGAUGCCCCGUUUGAUUGAGCGGAUGCACCCACCAUCGCAAACUUUCGCCCCGGCCCAUACUGCCCCAGACCCUGCUGCUCUGGCCCACGCUUCCGCUUCCACUGCCUUGGACUCACCAUGCGCCGAGUUUCAGGGUCGUUUAGAUUCUCAACAUUUCGAUUAUAGUGAAAGUUUCAAUUUCAAUGACCCAAUGUUGGAACAGGGGAAUAGCAUGUUACCCUUGGGUUGGGUGGUUGGGACUUGAUGGAGAGUUUGUGGGAGGAUGAGAAUAUGUGGCUUAUGCGACAACUUUGUCAUGAUCUGGAAAUUUAAAGACAAUUUCCUUGCGUUGCGUGACGCAUAUUUGGUGGCUUUCAUGUGCAAAGAUCCUACUCCUACUCCUAGAGCCGUUGCUACUUGUAAAAUGCAUGCGCUUUGUCUUUCCCUUUAGCUAAUAAAAGCUACACCAACCUUCAUACAUGAGAGGAAGAUUUCGAACUAUAUAAGAUAUUGGACUUGGUUAGGUAAUUGUUGCCGGUUUUGGACUGACCGUGAAAUAUAAUACUCAAGUCCUCUACACUAAGGAUUCGUAUGAUAUCCUUCUUUGUUAGAACAUUACCCCUCAAAGGUUUUAUUAUUGUUUUUAAGUGCGACAGCAAAAAUAUAAAGUUUAUGACUGUUGUCUAUCGCUCUUGAAAAGGAGUAGGGAGUAUUUGUUUAUCAAGUGAAAUGACAGAUUUAAAAACCCAAACACUACCAGUCUACUACAAACAUGGUGAAAUGCUUGGAUCACCUUGACCACAAGGUCCACAACCCUCAGUUGCUUCUACACAAGUUAAGCUUUAACAUGGAAAAAGAAGAGUAAAGGAAGCAAGACUUGUGUGUUCAACGGACACGAAGUUACACGGGUUCCUUCCAAUAUAUGAAAAACAUGUGUGUUAAUACGUUCUAUUCGGAUAGUUGGUCCUUUAUUUUCUUUUCUUGUUUUUAAACGUUAUUUUUGUGCUUAGCUUCAUAUUUAGUAAAUGUAAUACGGCGGG